RNAcentral lists this ribosomal RNA (785 nucleotides) under Salmonella enterica subsp. enterica serovar Agona. RNAcentral's name for it is "bacterial SSU rRNA". It matches the Rfam family "Bacterial small subunit ribosomal RNA", at positions 1 to 775 of the family's 1533-position model. Lineage: Bacteria; Pseudomonadati; Pseudomonadota; Gammaproteobacteria; Enterobacterales; Enterobacteriaceae. The record is from RNAcentral.
AAAUUGAAGAGUUUGAUCAUGGCUCAGAUUGAACGCUGGCGGCAGGCCUAACACAUGCAAGUCGAACGGUAACAGGAAGCAGCUUGCUGCUUCGCUGACGAGUGGCGGACGGGUGAGUAAUGUCUGGGAAACUGCCUGAUGGAGGGGGAUAACUACUGGAAACGGUGGCUAAUACCGCAUAACGUCGCAAGACCAAAGAGGGGGACCUUCGGGCCUCUUGCCAUCAGAUGUGCCCAGAUGGGAUUAGCUUGUUGGUGAGGUAACGGCUCACCAAGGCGACGAUCCCUAGCUGGUCUGAGAGGAUGACCAGCCACACUGGAACUGAGACACGGUCCAGACUCCUACGGGAGGCAGCAGUGGGGAAUAUUGCACAAUGGGCGCAAGCCUGAUGCAGCCAUGCCGCGUGUAUGAAGAAGGCCUUCGGGUUGUAAAGUACUUUCAGCGGGGAGGAAGGUGUUGUGGUUAAUAACCGCAGCAAUUGACGUUACCCGCAGAAGAAGCACCGGCUAACUCCGUGCCAGCAGCCGCGGUAAUACGGAGGGUGCAAGCGUUAAUCGGAAUUACUGGGCGUAAAGCGCACGCAGGCGGUCUGUCAAGUCGGAUGUGAAAUCCCCGGGCUCAACCUGGGAACUGCAUUCGAAACUGGCAGGCUUGAGUCUUGUAGAGGGGGGUAGAAUUCCAGGUGUAGCGGUGAAAUGCGUAGAGAUCUGGAGGAAUACCGGUGGCGAAGGCGGCCCCCUGGACAAAGACUGACGCUCAGGUGCGAAAGCGUGGGGAGCAAACAG